Molecule: ribosomal RNA, 253 nt
Filed under: uncultured Hyphomicrobium sp.
Lineage: Bacteria; Pseudomonadati; Pseudomonadota; Alphaproteobacteria; Hyphomicrobiales; Hyphomicrobiaceae
Description: partial 16S ribosomal RNA
Rfam family: Bacterial small subunit ribosomal RNA
Source: RNAcentral
UACGAAGGGGGCUAGCGUUGUUCGGAAUUACUGGGCGUAAAGCGCACGUAGGCGGAUCAGCAAGUCAGGGGUGAAAUCCCGGGGCUCAACCUCGGAACUGCCUCUGAUACUGCUAGUCUAGAGUCCGGAAGAGGUGGGUGGAAUUCCUAGUGUAGAGGUGAAAUUCGCAGAUAUUAGGAAGAACACCGGUGGCGAAGGCGGCCCACUGGUCCGGUACUGACGCUGAGGUGCGAAAGCGUGGGGAGCAAACAGG